UGAUAUAGGAGCUGAAGUUGGGCUCCUUCAUGACCAGUAUCUGUGACGAGAGGGGCCUGGAGCUGAUCUACGCUGCCAUGCCCAUCAGAUGUUGGCAAACACCUCAGAAGGGACAAAGGCUGGGCAGAAGAGAUGCUUUUGAAAUGGAUUCCUCUGACUGAAAGACAGGUUGAUACUGAGACCUUGCAUUACAAUUAUAAGACAUCUAUUACA
Salmo salar (Atlantic salmon) is the source of this 213-nucleotide non-coding RNA. Lineage: Eukaryota; Metazoa; Chordata; Actinopteri; Salmoniformes; Salmonidae. The record is from RefSeq and is a predicted model, not a curated record.